RNAcentral lists this unclassified non-coding RNA (229 nucleotides) under Hevea brasiliensis (rubber tree). The record is from RNAcentral. Lineage: Eukaryota; Viridiplantae; Streptophyta; Magnoliopsida; Malpighiales; Euphorbiaceae.
AUUAUAUUGGAGAUAUUGUUAUGUAAUUAAGUCUUCAUAAUUUUUAUUAUAAAAAUACCCUUUCAGCAUAUAAUAAUAUAUGAUGCUGCAACUCACUUCCACAGAUAAAUGCUUAAUGGGAUCAAAAUCCUUCCUAUCUAACAAAAAAAUAUCUGGACUUUCCUAGAGCAAAAAACAUCUGGACUUUCCUAGUGCAAAAGCCUGUGGCAAGGAACCAACUCUCCCAACC